GACGAACGCUGGCGGCGUGCUUAACACAUGCAAGUCGAACGGUGAAGCGCCUUCCUUUUUGGUGGGUGUGGAUGAGUGGCGAACGGGUGAGUAACACGUGAGUAACCUGCCCCCUUCUUCUGGAUAACCGCAUGAAAGUGUGGCUAAUACGGGAUAUUCUGGGUCUGUCGCAUGAUGGGUCUGGGAAAGAUAUUGUUUCGGUGGGGGAUGGGCUCGCGGCCUAUCAGCUUGUUGGUGGGGUGAUGGCCUACCAAGGCGGUGACGGGUAGCCGGCCUGAGAGGGUGGACGGUCACACUGGGACUGAGGCACGGCCCAGACUCCUACGGGAGGCAGCAGUGGGGAAUAUUGCACAAUGGGCGAAAGCCUGAUGCAGCGACGCCGCGUGAGGGAUGGAGGCGUGCGGGUUGUGAACCUCUUUCGCCAGUGAAGCAGGCCUGCCUCGUUUGUGGGUGGGUUGACGGUAGCUGGAUAAGAAGCGCCGGCUAACUACGUG
This 494-nucleotide ribosomal RNA is filed under the name uncultured bacterium. RNAcentral describes it as "partial 16S ribosomal RNA". It matches the Rfam family "Bacterial small subunit ribosomal RNA", at positions 28 to 507 of the family's 1533-position model. The record is from RNAcentral.